AAUAAUAGAUUGAACGGAACCUUUGCCAAAUGUAGUUUCGCCUAACAACACAGCCCUUUUUUGAUCUUGUAAAGCGCCCGCCACUAUUUCGGAAGCUGAUGCAGACCCGUUAUUUAUUAAAACUAUUAGAGGUUUACCUUUAAUAUGAUCUCCUUUUUUUGCAAAAAAUUUUCUGUUUUCUCUACUUUUUCUUCCUCUGAUGGAAACAAUUUCUCCAUCAUUAAGGAAAAAAUCAGUAAUUUUAACAGCUUGGGAUAGAAGGCCUCCUGGAUUAUUCCUUA
This 281-nucleotide non-coding RNA is filed under the name marine eukaryotic metagenome. The record is from RNAcentral.